This is a long non-coding RNA of Grus americana (Whooping crane), 6562 nucleotides long. RefSeq lists it as uncharacterized. NCBI's taxonomy places the organism in Eukaryota, Metazoa, Chordata, Aves, Gruiformes, Gruidae. The transcript is spliced from 2 exons. The record is from RefSeq and is a predicted model, not a curated record.
AGUACUGAGUAAAGCACUGUGUAUGGAACAAAUGUCGACAACAUUAGGCCCCAAGUUCGUUUGUUUGUUUUCCUUUGCUUAUAUCUAAUCAUGAUGAAGCAAUAGUCUCACUUCUGCUAAAAGCGGAAUCUGGGUUUUCAUUUUUAAGGGAGGUGAAAAAUGUGUAGUACAACUUAUGAUUUGAGGUGAAUGAUAAGUUUUUGAUUCUUACAGCAGUUUAAGCUACUGGGAUUUUAUGGCAUUUAGGCUAGGGGAAAGAACAGUGAGGGUUUAAAAAUAUGUAUCACCUGUAAUUUUUUCAGUACUUUUUGUGCGUGUGUGUAGCGGUAUCUUUGUUUUUCACAAGAUUGUUUCUAGGGAUUGGUAGGAAAGUUUAAAGACUUAGUGGCUUUGAUGAUAACCCUUACGAUACCGUUGUGCUUUUGUAUAAACGUGUAGAAAAGACCUAGGACAGCAUAAAGUGUUAGAUGUGCUGCUGUCUUUGGCGCUGGAGAACUUUGGAGUAUAAUUAUAUUUUCUGCUUGACAAAAAUCCAAGGUCCAGGUACACUGAUCCUUUUGUUGCAAUAACUGCUGUUGCUCCUUCGGUUUGGGAAUCUGUGGCUUGCUAGCCUUAAAUCUCUGUGAAGAGUUGUGACAGAAAAACAUCUUUCCAGCAUGUUGAACUGAACAGAUGAUCCCUCUCUUUUUUUUCUGAAGGCUCUCCUUUUGUGGUUUCUUUUUCAGGAUCAAGAAUAAACUAUGUGUUUGCGCCUUUGUCAGCAAGACUCCCAUGGGGCAAUCCUUGUAAGCGCUGGGAUUGCCUGUUUGGUAGCAAGGGGGCUUAUAAAAAGCAACUCCAGGUGGAAGUGGGCCUUUUCCUGCUCCUCCCUCUGUCCUGCUGCAAUUCCCUUUCAUCCAGGCCCCGAGAGCUGCCUGCCUUUGAGACUAAGCUAUGAAUGUAACAGAGUUGUGGUCACUUCACCAAGAUAUUGGGAUGUCUGCCAUCACUUAGGUUGAUUCAUUGACAUGUAAAUGUUUGGGGGAGUUUCCUUGUACAUAAUAUAGCACAUCAACUUACGGUGGUCAUACAAAAAACUUAAAAAGUUAAGCGUAUCUCUAAAGAAAAUGAGCAGCUUCUAUGUGUCAUUAAACUUGAUGUCUAAGACGUUGGUGUGAAUAAGGCUGCCAUCUUGUUUGGGCUUUUUAGCUCCCUUGUCAAGGUUUUUAUUUCCCUACAGAAUGCAAGGUGGAAAUGGUGUGUGGUAAAUUACUUAUUAAAUACAAAAAACUGACAGCAUGUGCAGUGCUCUGACCCAAAAGUCAUGUUGGUAACCUGCUACACCGAAGAUUAAACAAGAAAUACUAGUGCUACUGUAUCUGUUGUCUUUAUCUUCUAGCGACUGUUUUACAUCUUUUCUGUUGAGUCGUAGAAGAGCUUCAAGUAAGAUCCUGCCCCUUUAGAAGCAGUGAUAUAAUCUGUGCUCUCAGUGUGGAAAAACCCAGCAUGUUCUGGCUUGCACUUUUUAAGAGAGAAAACAAUUGGUCCAUUGCUUAAAAGUUGUGCCAUUAAGCACAGCGCUACUUAGUGUGCGGCCUACGAAGUGUGACCCGUGGCGUUACAGAUGCAGCGCACAUCCCCUCCCUCCUCCGUCACCGCAGGGUGAGGACACCAGGUCUUUCUGCCUUAACUGAAAUAAGCCAGUUCUGUUCAUCAGCCAAGAAUGUACAAGUAAAUAUAAUGAUUGGGUAAGUCGCUUGUAAUACCCAAAGUAUAAACAAACUUGUGCAUAGGAAAGGUGAGUUUGUGGCAGGUUUCCAGGGCAGUUCCCUCAGCAUCGCAGAGCUGAGGCGUUCCUCUUUAAGGGUAAGACAAAUUUUAGAUCUUUACACAAGACAGAAACAGAAAAGGUGUAGAAUGGAGGGAUACAAAAUGAGGUGUCUGGUGGUGGUGGUGCUUUUAACACUGACCUGUGGCUCUAGAUUUAUUUAUUCUCGAGUGGCCCUCGGUGGUAUUGGACACCUCCACUUUCAAAUCAUGUCAGCACGAAUGACACGUACGCAGCAUCUCCUGGAAUCAGACCUAACAUGUCUCCUAUGAAACCUGUGGAUGAAGUGAGGUGUUCCUUUAUCUGUGAGUUGUUAUUAUGCAAGUAUUUUGUGUGAAAUUCAGGUUUAAAUUUAAUAUUUGUAAAGUUCAAUUAAUGGUGCAUUGUUUUAAAUACUCCGAUGAUCAAACUCUACCUAGCCAGGCAGUUGUUUCUUUUCUUGCAGUGAAACACUGCGCAAGGGAUAUGCGUUUGUCUGGAUUGUGAGAAACUGCGAAGAUGGUACAAAGACAUUCAGAUUCCAAGCUUUGGCCCUUCUCUUGGAGUGUUCUGUGCCAGUGAAGUGAAGACCACAGCUGACAACUUCGCUACUCUGUUGCAACAGAACUUUUGCCGUGAGCUUUAAACUUUACUAUGUAUGAGACUGUUUUCUCAGGGGCAGGUCUGAAAUAGUGGAAGGAACAAUUUAUUUUACUUUUUCUCCUCUAUAUAAAAGUACAAUGAUUUUAUGUAUGUCCCCAUAUCCUUUUGAAAGCAAAUUUUCCAUGCACGCCCUUCUGGAGAGAGAUAGAGAGGGAAGGAGACAGAAGAGAUGUCGCCAAUUACUCUACUGUAAGGCACCAACAUACUACUGUGGUAAAUGUGGUAUAAGAUCACAAAAGAAUAAUAUGGAUUGACGUAAUGUAAAGUACAUUUAUGAAACGUUUCAAUUGCACCAAGCUGUGAGGAUGGUGACCAUUAUGGAUGAUCAGUUCAGAAAUCAAAAUGCACUUAAUAAAUGCAAAAGUGAAAACAAUGGUCGAUUUCUUGGAGAAAUCAAGGUAGGUGGUUAGAGGGAGUUUGUAGAGAAUCACUAACAAAAAAGCAAUGGACAAUGCAAUGCUUUUGCGAAAUGCAAUGCCCUCUUAGGAUUUAUCAAUAGGUGGCAUAUGUAAGUCAUAGAGAAAGAUGUAAAGAUGACUCCACUAAGUGCCGGUGAGGCCUCAACUGCAGUAUUGCCUUCAGUUUCAUGUUCUGUGCUGAAAAAUAAAGUACAGGACAGGGCAAGACAAAAUAAAAGAUGUAGAAAUGGUGAAGGAAGGGAGGAUGUUGAGCCUGAAAAAUACUUUUUAGAGGAAAUUGGAUAAAUUUUUCAAUGUGUAAAAGGUUAGAAGAGGUUUGAUCAACUGUUUUUGAAUGCUGGGGUAAAGAUGAGAUAAAUCGGAUCUGUACAGAGGGGAGAUGUCUCAGACCGGAUAUUAGGAGGGUGAGAGGAUGAUUUAAAUUGGAUAGUAGGAGGAGGUGGGGGAGAUGCAACAACUUUUACAUCGUUACAGUGAAAUACCAGAACAAGCCACUUAGGAAGUUCGAGUAUCUGCUCCACGGAGGGUUUCUGAGAACAGGUUAGACAAACAUCUGUUGGGGAUUGUCUGGGGCUACUUUAUCCUGUCUUUGUGUGGCUGGGGGGGACCAGAUGGUCUCUUCAGAUCCCUCUCAGUCCUCUUCCUAGAAGUUUACCGAGCAGGGAGGGCAGUGGACCCGAGUUUAAUGAGAAAACGGUGUCAUCCUCUUAGUUGAUCCUCUUUCAGAAUAGAAAAAGAAUCCAAGAGAAACCACAUCUAACUUAACUAUAUAAGUAAAUGGGGUUUUUUGUUUGUUUUUUUUUUUAAUUGUUGACUUGCAAGUUUAUGAAGCAUUUACCAAAAAAAUACAUGAAAAAGUCAUAAACUUUAUAACACAUUUAAGGUGUUCCUUAGUGCAUUUGUAGUUAAACAGCUUAAAGAAACACUUUUAAAAGUACCUCUUUUUUCAUGAACAUAAGUAGCAAAAAUAACAAGUUUAUAAGUAUUUUUAAGUAUAUUAUAAAUGUGUGUUUGGCUAUGGGUUUUAAAUUGCCUCCCAUUUUAAAACAAGUAACGACUACAUGCGUAGGUAUUUCUGACCAUGUCCGAGAAUGUCUCACCCAGGUGCUCCUUGCAUGUGCAAACCCAGGAAAUAAUCAUGACGAAUCGCUCUUGCUCCCCAGUCCACAGAAGGAACGAGUUAUUCGGUACCUGCUCUGAAAAAUCUGUCUUGAAGGAAAGCUGAAUGGAAAUGUGAAAGUCAGCGCCUCACUUCCUCGGCAGGUGAACUCUGUGGCUGCAGCGGCGUUUCCCUCCUUCCCUGCCUCCCUCCCUCCCUGCCUCCCCCGGGCUGCGCGCUGGGAAGUUCCAGUGAAAUAUAGCUGCAGUGGAAAGUCCUGCUCACAGCGAGGAGACGUGACCUCUCAGCGAGUCAGAUCCAAUUUUACAGGCGGCUCUGAGUCAGGGUGGAGCCCAUGAACUGAACUUUGUAUUUAAGAAGGAAGUGAUGUUGGUGGCAGCUUGUGUUGCUAAGCAGAUGAGUUGCCGUAUUUUUAUGUCAGCUGAUAGUUUCGUCGGGUGUGUGACUUCAUUCUUAGAUAUGAUGCCUUCCAUUUAUUAAGGACAAAGGUCAGAAACUGUCAGCAGGGUGAUAGCCGUGCCUCUCCAUAUAAGAAGAGGCGUGUUCCACUGAGCCAUCAAAGAUGGAAAUGGGAGUCCUUAAUGAUGCUUCUGCAUGGUGAAAACAAAACCGACCGUGAAACUGUCAGUUUGUGUCACGGUCCAAGAGCAAGCGUCCUCGUGAGCAGGGAUGUUGUGGAGUAGGUCAGUUCCCCGGUGUUGCUCCAUUUUUAUAAGAACUCACUACUGUUCCCGGUUAAAGAGGUGGCCUGUCUAACCCAGUGUCUUGUUUCCAGUAGUAACAGGAGCUGGGGGCUGAGGUGAGCAGUUGGGCACUGGCCUGUUAAAUCAGAAUUGAGAUGGAAAGCUAAGCGAUCCUGCCUCUGACUCUGAUAAAAUAAGUGGUGAGUCUAUUUGGGAAGGAGAGUGGGUUAUCACCUCUGUGCCGCUGGCACCCCGAUGGGUCAGCUGCACAGCUGUCCAGAUCCUCGCUGGUCAGUGGCAGCACCCGGGCAGCGUUUCUGAGACUCCUGAGCAGGAGAGUGUAGGCAGGUUCCGGGCAGCUGCCCCCAGCUGCCCAUGCACCCAUGCAACCCACAGUGGCGCAUCACAGUGUGCUGUCUCAGGUGGCAUUUCCCCCUCUUCCCACUUCAAUGUCUUUGCUUACAUCCCUAAGUUAGCCUUGAGAGAGCUGUAUGUUGCUAUCCUUGUUCUGAGAGGUACUACUGUAUGAGAAAAUUUCCACAGAAAAGAAUGAAUUUUGAGAGUAGUAUUAAUUCUUCUUGUUGUUGGAUUCCCAAGGGUGAGGCAGCAGGAAAUGCUGACAUCCCUCAGAGAGCUUUGCCCCUGUAAGGCCUGGCAGGUGAGUGGCAUGAGGACACAAGCUGCUGGAGCUUGCUGCCUCUCCGCUUUUCUGGUUCAGUUCCUCAGUUAAGGAGUUCCCUGUCACAGAAGUGGCUGUUUGGGCCAAUUCCAGCUUUUGUCACUCUGGCUGGCUUGACUUUCAAAGAAAAAAAAAAACAACAAACCAACCAAGCCACACAACUGUCUACCCUGGUUUGCCCUCUGUUCCCUUAGCUUGCUGGUGCCACAGGGUGGCUCCUUGUAGCACUUGUAUUUCUAAUGCUUUUAGCUUUUCAGCUGAAAUCGUUAAGGUUGUUCUUUCUGAUACGAGUCUACUGCUUCCUGGUACCAAAAUCCACGUGCUCUCAGUAUUUCAGUGUGCUGUACAUUGGUGAACAAUUUCUUCUAAAAAAGGAAUAUUGUUUAGCAUGCGGCACAUCGUUACCAUCUGUGCCCUUUUGCCCACUGUACCCACUCAGACUCAUGUGCUUCCAUUGCUGCCUAAUUUUUGAGAAACUUUGAGUAAAACUUUCACUUGUGAAAGAAAAAGAAACCAUUUGUCUUUUUCACUUCUUCCCCAUUUGCUGAAACAACGUUCAGAGAUGAAUAAAACGUGAGCGUGUGUCGGGGUCGUGGGAUUUUGGAGCCACUUCCCACCAAUCAUGGGGCAAAAUGUGAUGCCUUAGCUUGUCUGAGGCCGCGAAAUGGCAUCCUGAAUACUGAGCCUGAAAGGCAGCUGCUCCAAACACAAGCUUGGGCUUCUGGUGCAGUUUCAUAUCCCUCCUUGCACAAACAGAAGUAAAAGAAAGCCUGUGAGAUGAGAAGUUGUUGAGGUUUGGGUACAUCUGUACAGAAUUUCCCUGGGAGCUGCAAGUUUCUUCAUCAAAGCAAAAAAGCCUUUUGGGAGAAGGCAGCUGGAGGGUACGCCACGAGCAUGGGUCCUUUCCGUCGGGACUGAUGCAUGGUGUGGACCGUCGCAGUGCUGAGCAGGUGAGGAAGCAGAUGUGCUUAAUGCAGCUUUUCUCAAGCGGAGUCCGAGCUCACCCUGAUGGUCCUCAGCCUGGGUGGCUCCCAAACAAGGCAAAUACCCAGACUGGGUUGUCAGAAAUGAGGCGCAGGCUGCUGGGGCCUCGUGGCCCGAAGGCCUGCCAGCGCAUGGCUUGCGUGGGGACUUGGCAUUGCAAGAUGUCAUCUGCCGCCUUCGGAGGUGACAAACGUCUAGACCUUAAGAUCACAUUUCACUAUACUUGCC